GAUGGACGCUGGCGGCGUGCCUAACACAUGCAAGUCGAACGGAGUCCAGCCUUUAAGACCUUCGGGUCAAAGAGGGGAAGACUGAGUGGCGGACGGGUGAGUAACACGUGGGCAACCUGGCUCAUAGAGGGGGAUAACAGAGAGAAAUUUCUGCUAAUACCGCAUAAGCACACACUGCCGCAUGGCAGAGGGUGAAAAGAGAAUCGCUAUGAGAUGGACCCGCGUCUGAUUAGCCAGUUGGCAGGGUAAGAGCCUACCAAAGCGACGAUCAGUAGCCGAUCUGAGAGGAUGAACGGCCACAUUGGGACUGAGACACGGCCCAAACUCCUACGGGAGGCAGCAGUGGGGGAUAUUGCACAAUGGGGGGAACCCUGAUGCAGCGACGCCGCGUGAGUGAAGAAGUAUUUCGGUAUGUAAAGCUCUAUCAGCAGGGAAGAUAAUGACAGUACCUGAAUAAGAAGCCCCGGCUAACUUCGUG
RNAcentral lists this ribosomal RNA (478 nucleotides) under uncultured bacterium. RNAcentral describes it as "partial 16S ribosomal RNA". It matches the Rfam family "Bacterial small subunit ribosomal RNA", at positions 28 to 507 of the family's 1533-position model. The record is from RNAcentral.